UUGCCCAUGAUGAUAUCAUAACACCAAAUAACCAUCUUUCGGGACUGAAUGGCUUUCAAAGCCUUGCUGUUAUUCUGCAAUUCUGAGGCAC
Molecule: non-coding RNA, 91 nt
Organism: Jatropha curcas
Lineage: Eukaryota; Viridiplantae; Streptophyta; Magnoliopsida; Malpighiales; Euphorbiaceae
Source: Rfam